This 253-nucleotide ribosomal RNA is filed under the name uncultured bacterium. RNAcentral's name for it is "partial 16S ribosomal RNA". It matches the Rfam family "Bacterial small subunit ribosomal RNA", at positions 524 to 776 of the family's 1533-position model. The record is from RNAcentral.
UACAGAGGGUGCAAGCGUUGUUCGGAAUUACUGGGCGUAAAGCGCACGUAGGUGGUUUAGUAAGUCUGAUGUGAAAGCCCUGGACUCAAUCCAGGAAGUGCAUUGGAUACUGCUAGACUAGAGUACAGGAGGGGUAAGCGGAAUUCCAGGUGUAGAGGUGAAAUUCGUAGAUAUCUGGAGGAACAACGGAGGCGAAGGCGGCUUACUGGACUGUAACUGACACUGAGGUGCGAAAGCGUGGGUAGCAAACAGG